RNAcentral lists this ribosomal RNA (468 nucleotides) under uncultured bacterium. Its description in RNAcentral is "partial 16S ribosomal RNA". It matches the Rfam family "Bacterial small subunit ribosomal RNA", at positions 28 to 507 of the family's 1533-position model. The record is from RNAcentral.
GACGAACGCUGGCGGCGUGCUUAACACAUGCAAGUCGAACGGAAAGGCCCUGCUUUUGUGGGGUGCUCGAGUGGCGAACGGGUGAGUAACACGGGAGUAACCUGCCCUUGACUUUGGGAUGACUUCAGGAAACUGGGGCUAAUACCGGCUAGGAGCUCCUGCUGCAUGGUGGGGGUUGGAAAGUUUCGGCGGUGGGGGAUGGACUCGCGGCUUAUCAGCUUGUUGGUGGGGUAGUGGCUUACCAAGGCUUUGACGGGUAGCCGGCCUGAGAGGUUGACCGGCCACAUUGGGACUGAGAUACGGCCCAGACUCCUACGUGAGGCAGCAGUGGGGAAUAUUGCACAAUGGGCGGAAGCCUGAUGCAGCAACGCCGCGUGCGGGAUGACGGCCUUCGGGGUGUAAACCGCUGUCGCCUGUGACGAAGCGUGAGUGACGGUAAUGGGUAAAGAAGCACCGGCUAACUACGUG